UUCCAUCGUAUCCCUGCCACAGCUGACGGACAAAGAGAACAAGCUUUUUUGACUAAUUAACAAACCACUAAUUGUUUUUCACAGUUUCCUAUGUCUUCCCCAGCCUCACAGUUUCUGCCCCCAUUCUCUGUGUGUGCGUGCUGACCGACGUCACACAUCCCUGUCCUGUUCCUGUGAGGCACUGCUGCUGCCCUGCAGGGACAAAGCCUGUUGAUUCUUUCAUUCUGGCCCAUACUGGUGACUGUACGUGUUAAACAAUGCUGUGAGCAGAAGUAAUUAAGUCUGGUUUCCAAAAUGUCUCUAUUGCAUGGAUUCUUUGAUGUCAGUGAAAAAAAAUUGAACUUAUUAACUUUCUGCUUAGCAGGAAAGCAGAAAAAAAAUUCUCUCCUGGCUUUCUUUCCCUGAACUUGCAAAAAGUUAUGUGUUUUGAGAAGCCAGCUCCUCUCCCAAGGGUUACUGAGGGGCCCAGGGGAUAUUGGUAGCUCUCUAGAGAGAACAAAGCAGCAGCCACACAUGAGCUUACAGCACAAGGCUGUAAAAACGUUCAGGUGGCUGUGUUCCUUUGUGUGCUUCUUAGGAGAGAAGGAAGAUAAGCCCCACGAUCCCUGUCCCCCAGCUCUGGUCCUGAGGGGUGGUGGGAGAGGUGGCCUCAACUCUCUGAAGAGGAAGGAGGCUUUGGGCAAGCAGCCUCAGCACUGCUUUGUCUUUGAUAAAGCUCUAUGCCCGGUUCAACUGCAGCCAGCGAGCACGAGGAGUGUUGAUGCUCGUAGGCAUCACAAAGCAGAGAAACAGCUGACCGAAACCAUCCUUGGGAAGUACCUCAGACUUUAUGGGGCAAUUUACCUUAUCCCAAGAGGAAAAAAACAAGUCCAACAGGUUUAACUGGAAGAUGGUUUAUAUGUAUGGGGAAACAAAAAGCUGAUCAAGUUCCAUGCUAUUUAUCUCUUUCCCUCUACUGCUUUCCUUCCUGUGUAUUUUAGGAUCUCAUUCUGCUGUGAAAAAGAUGCAGUUACAACAGGCUGAGUCUAUGGAACGUUCCAAAAUAUGGAACAGCCUAUUGCCAACAAACCUGAAUUGCAAACACUUCUUAAUUAAGGUUACACAUUACUAAUAUUUGGGGAUACUUUCUUUACCAGCGAGACAGUGCUGUCUUCCAAACGCUGUUGAUUUCUUCUUUGCUUCUUUAGUUCUGUGUGACUGACUGAAGAUCUAAAUGAAUGCCCCCCAGCAAAAUCUAACAAAACCAUGACAGAAGUCGAUCCAGCUGAAAGCAGUCCCCCAACACAUGAGCAGCAGAGGGAAGCUGAGCUGCUGCUGCAGCACACAGGGAGGAGAUGACAGUCCCACUACUGGGUCCAUUUUCCCUUGUUACAGUGUAAGCUCUUCAUGCUUCUUACUGGCAGCUGCUAUAAAUACGCAGGCAGUCACUUGACCUUGGCAGCUGUUUGGCUAACUAAAAUAAUUCCCUUUGAAACUGGCAGAGGCACAAUGGGAG
RNAcentral lists this long non-coding RNA (1495 nucleotides) under Gallus gallus (chicken). Its description in RNAcentral is "lncRNA (ENSGALG00010015116.1)". The record is from RNAcentral. Lineage: Eukaryota; Metazoa; Chordata; Aves; Galliformes; Phasianidae.